RNAcentral lists this long non-coding RNA (554 nucleotides) under Numida meleagris (helmeted guineafowl). RNAcentral describes it as "lncRNA (ENSNMEG00000008954.1)". The record is from RNAcentral. Lineage: Eukaryota; Metazoa; Chordata; Aves; Galliformes; Numididae.
GGAGCCACAGGAGAAAGACACUAAGAGAGAUUUCUCAGCUACGUACCCCAGGGCUGCGCCAUUCCAGAACGGAAGAGCUGGCGGGGAGGGUGUGAGGCCCAUGAAGCACUUAGGAUCAGCAGGAUACUACUGAGUGUCUUGUCAUUUCUGCAUUUUGUCAGGGUAAUUUUGAGUAACACUGGCUUCUCAUGUACUGGCAAGGAACAUCAAUUUGGGAACAAAAAAGUAGCAAGGUUAUGCAGUGCAACAGCUCCACUUUGUUCUAGACCAUGAUGACAAACAGCAGAGGCAAAGGGAGUGCAUCCUGGCAGCAGUGGUGAGAGAUAUUUUCAGAGCUGCACGUCCCCUAUAAACUGGUUUUAUGAAAUGAAUAGCAUAUAUCCUGCAGCUGGGUAACCUCUGCUUUAUUCCACUAGCCAAGCUAUUGUUGAAAAUAUUGAACAAAACCAACAAAGGACAGACCUCUGUGGAAGUCUUUGAUCCAUACUUCCAUAUUUGCCAUAGAUGUGGUACUUAGGGACAUGGUUUAGAGGGUGUGAUGGUGAUGAGUGGAU